AUAUUUUCUUAUAAAUUACUAUUAUUUUUAUUUUGUAAAUUACUUUUAUUCCAUCAAGCCCGCCAUUCCUAACUAUCGGAACACUAUAAAUACCACUUCCUCCGCUCACUAAACCCUUAACAUCCAAAAACCCCUCUCUACCAAGCUCCAAGCAUACGGUUCUGCUCUUCCAACUGUGCUGCGUUCAACGGUUGAGGUACAUUUUCGUUACCCUUCUUUCUGUGUUCAACGGUUUGGGUAUUGCCUUUGAAGUGUUCUUUCUUGUUUCUGAUUCAAUUCUCCAAAUCUAGAAUGUAUGAUUACUCAGUUUUAUUGUUCUUGCUCUGUGAAUCUAUGUGCUCUUUAUCGUUUCUGAUUCAAUUCUCCAAAUCUAGAAUGUAUGAUUACUCAGUUUUAUUGUUCUUGCUCUGUGAAUCUAUGUGCUGGUUCAACAGUUUGGGUACAUUUUGGUUGCCUUUGAAUUGUACUUUCUUGUUUCUGAUUCAAUUGUUUACUGUUCUUGAUCAAUUGUAAUGGUAAGAAUCUAUCUGCAGUGCUGGGUUCCACUGUGUACGAGUAACAUUUUCAUUCUCUUCCCAAUCGUUCUUUCCACUGUUUUUUGUUCAAUUCAGAACUCAGUUUUUUCAAUUUAGGAUUGUUAUAUUGUUAUCACUCAAUUGUUCCUUUGUUAUCUUUGUUUCGUUUUGGUUUUGUAAGCGUAUAGAGUCAUUAUUAGCAGACUUGCCAGCAUGCUUGUUUCUGCCAAUUCCACAAUGGAGUCUCUUAGAACACAACUUGAUGAGGUAAAUCAGUUAAGGGCCGAAAAUGCAAGUCUUAGGACACGACUUGAUGGAGCCAAUAGUGAAUUGAGUCAUGGCAGAAAUACAGGAACAGGAAAUGCUGCUGAUGCUGAGGGCAGUAAGAGGAGAAGAAUUUAGCCUUUUCAACAUUUACUUGCUGUAUAGUAUCUUUCUGAGGGCAGUAAAAGAAUGUAGUCCUUUUCAACAUUUUACUUGCUGUAUAGUUCAUUGAGGGCAGUAAAAGAAUGUAGUCCUUUUCAACAUUUUACUUGCUGAAUAGUUCAUUUCUGAGGGCAUUUUACUUGCUGUAUAGUUCAUCAGUAAAAGAAUGUAGUCCUUUUCAACAUUUUGCUUACUUGCUGUAUAGUUCAUAUUUCUGAUAGGGUUAAGUGUGAAUGUAUUUUUUUGUUACGGGUAAAUAGAACUCGGCAUACGAUUUUGUGCACAUUUAGAAAUUCUUUUAUAUAAUUGAUUUCAUUUAGAAUAGUAAUAAUGGCAUUAUGUACCAUCUUAUUUGUUUUUGCAGGAACAAAUUUUAGAGGAAGUAGACCCAGUUUUUAAAUUGGUUUGGUCAGUACCUGUUCCCUCCAAUGUCAUAGCAUUUUCUUGGAGGAUGUUGAAAGACAGAAUCCAGACGAGGAAUAAUCUCCAUAGGCGCCGGGUGAUCACAAAUGAGGAUGGUGCGUUAUGCCCCCCUGUGUGGAUUGGAAGAGGAGUCUACAUCACAUCUGUUCUACUUAUGUCAGGCCACAAAUUCAAUAUGGUAUGCAUGUUCUAAUUGGUUGGGUGUUCCCUCAUCUCUGUUGCCUUCCCCACGGGAACAUUUACUUCAAUUUUCCUCCAUUGGUACCAAUAAAGCACAGAGGGUGGGAGAAUAUGUUAUUUGGAUGUCAAUUGUGUGGACUAUAUGGUUACUACGGAAUAAAACUGUCUUCAAUGGGGAAGAAUUUGACAGGAAUCAAGCACUAGAGCUGGCACAAUUUAAGGCUUGGCAGUGGCUACGUACAAAAACGGAUGGAUUCACAUACUCUUGGUUCGAAUGGUUGAGGAACCCAAGUUACUGCAUUUAAGCAUUAUGAGGGGUUGGGUAUGUGUUACUGUAGAGUAACAAGGAGUGAUAUAGUUGGAGGUUUAGCAUGUCUUUCCCAUCCCGGUUUGACAUAGAAUUCUUAUUUGCUUCAUGUAUUUUCUAUUCUCUUUAUUUCUUGAUGGUUCUAGUAAUUUCUAGUCCAUUGUUCAUUGUAUUUGGGUUAGCACCCCUUGUGCUAAAUUGAAUGCAAUAUUUUGGCUUAUCAAAAAAAAAAAACUGGCAUUAUGUACCAAACAAAACAAAAAAGUAAUACUGGCAUUAGAGCAACUGCAGCAGAGUCCCAUUGGAGCU
Molecule: long non-coding RNA, 2160 nt
Organism: Lotus japonicus
Lineage: Eukaryota; Viridiplantae; Streptophyta; Magnoliopsida; Fabales; Fabaceae
Exons: 3
Source: RefSeq, a predicted model, not a curated record